This 1433-nucleotide long non-coding RNA is filed under the name Homo sapiens (human). RNAcentral's name for it is "novel transcript, antisense to FERMT2". Lineage: Eukaryota; Metazoa; Chordata; Mammalia; Primates; Hominidae. The record is from RNAcentral.
GGCCUUUCCCGGGGCGCUGGUGGCCGGCGGGGCGUCUAGAGCUCAGGCUGGACUGGGGCCCCCGCGGCGUGUGUCCGCGCUGGCAGCAGGGAGAGGGGGCUUGUCCGUGAGAAACGGCCCCAGGAAAUUCCCAGGGCAAGGUCGUUUUCGGAGAACAAAGUCCUCUCGCCCCCUCCCCACGCCUGCAGCGAGACAAAAAGCCUCAGGGAGGUGAGAGGUGCCGCACCCCGGGAGCUGGAGAGAGGAGUCUGGGACGGAGAAACUUUAAAAAGUAAAUGCCCAAACCAACUCCUUGAAUGUCCUACAAAAGAAUAAGAAAACCCCGAGGGAGGUGAACCACAAAAAUUGCUUUGCAAGCAAUGUCCGGCACCAUCAGCAACUCCUACUGGACUCCCAGGAGUUUGCAAGCGUUCUUAACCCCUUCGGACGCUCCAGCCAGAUGCCAGUCAAACAGAUGAUGCUCUUGCCUGAGGGGAAAGGAAAGACACAACCUAGUGCCACAGGUUUUACUCAGAAACUGUUUCCCCAGCUUCUCCAGCUCUUUGUACUUAUUUGUGUGUUUUUAUAUGCAAGUUAGAACUAACAGUCUAUUAAAGCUGUUAGAUGGAGAUACAUGUUCCAUCCCACCCUCAGCCACACCUUGGAUUUUAAUACUUCUGGAACGGUGCCUGCAGGUACCAGGAAGAGCUAAACAACUUCACCUGUUGAAGACUGGCUAGUGAUGGGGAACGGUCCUCCUGCUUCCCGCUUUUGUUUCCACUUCCCCCAUUAACUGUUGUACUCUGUUGAGGGAACUCCUUUCAGAAACAGCAAACCAGAGAAACUGCCUCGCUAGCAAAUUCAUGGGCUCAGAAAAUAAACGUCAAGAAGGCUCAGAUUAAAAUACCUUUUAAAGAUAAAAGACUCCAGUUCGCAGUCUCAUAAUCUUGUCGAAUUGUCUCAAACGCUUGGAAAAGGAACUCGCUAGGCAGAUAACCUUUUGUUCAUUAACAUUACUGGGAAACAAGAUGAGAGGCCUCAAGAAAGGGGUGGAACUCAGAAAGGAGUGAAAGCAGCAAAAUUUAGUCAGAUGCCAAAGGCUUGGCAGAAAAAAAAAUAGGGAAAACCACUACAGUGUUUUUAGCUAGUUAUCAUGGAGAAAUUGAUGCCUUCAGUCUCUUAUCUGUCUACUCUCCAAUAUUUCUACUCGUGGACGUUCCAAAUAGUUCACUUGAAAGCAAUAUGAAUGUCCGGAGAUGAGGGAGUUUAUGUAAAUUAUGGGGUUGAAAAUAUACAGGAAAAUGUUUUUAAUAAAUUAAGGAAUUGCUUGUUAGGGCACAAAACUGCAGAACUGGAUAUGCAGCUAUAAAAUUAAGAGCUUAUUUACGUUAAAUGUUCAGAGAAAAAGACUGUAAGGAAAUACAGCAAAAUGUUAAGAAGCUCUCUGGGUCUUG